GUAAUAUACAAUGGAGCCACAAAGGCAGAAUUGCUGGUGACUUUGGGCACCGGCUUCACUUCUGCAGAGAAGUAUCCCUUCAAAUUUCUUUUCAGCUUGAAGGUAACUUGAGCAAUCAGACGAGCACGGCUGCACUAAUGUUUCAGUGCUUACUUUCCCUUCAAGUCUCUAAUAAACUCAGCAUCAUCCAUUCAGGUGAUAGGUGGGGAGCACAAUUUCUGGGGCUGUGUUGACUGUUGCAAGCUUUUGUAACAGGAGCAACGUUCCAACGAGGUGCCUUUGCCUCCAGAUCUGCCAUCCCAGGAGGCGCACCUGAUCAGGACAAACAGCUUGGCGUUUACUAAUUAUUACUACCGUGACGCUACCCAGCUUCCUGGCACGCGCAUCACCUGCGUGGCCGGAUGCUGCCAGGUCUUUCCCCUCUUAGGGUUUGCGAUGCUCAUGACGGCAUGCAAGUGCAGAUCACUUCACUGUCCAGCAAUUCUGUUCAUAGAGUUCUACAGUCAUCUGCGCUCUCGACAGGUCUGUGUUCCAGCACUUAUCAGCAGUCAAGGUUGCUGCCUGCAGGGGAGCCACUUGAAAGGCUGGGGAGUGGAGCAGAUGAGAGACUGGAUAUAUGCAGUGUACUCGGCAGUCUCUUACAAGGUAAAUCACCCGUUCAUCACCAAACUCUGGGUUCCCACAUUGCACGGCAUCUGCUUUGGAGGGUUGACAUGCUUGCAGCGCCAACUGCAGUUCUGUAAGCGAGUUUCAGAGGCAGAGCACCCAUGAGGUAGCUUCAGAGGAGAGAUGACGGGAGCGUGGCUAAGCACCCUCGAGAACCUUUACCUUGGCUGUUGCGCAGGUGUCUCUCAGACAGAGCGGAGCAGUUGGAGAUGGUGUGGCGCCAACAUGCUUGGCUAUACUGCCAGGAGCUGCAGGAGUCAUCAUACUUCCAGAUGUGCGGCACAUGAACAUCUUUCCAUUUUAUGGCCUGCCGUGGUAUGGGAGUCCAGAGGUGGUUGCAGCUUGGGACAAAGUUUUGCGCUGAUGGGAGAUUAAUUAUUAAAAUGCAGAAAUGGGGCAAUAUCAGAGGUCGGAGAGAUCACUGCAGCGAGCAGAUCCUCGCUGAACGCACCCAGCGUUUCAGUGUUGAUAUCUGUAUGACAUGCUUCUCCUACCAUUCAAGGCCAGAAGCGUUUCAAGGUUUCAAUUUUAGCCACACAGCAAUUGUGCACCAGCUCAGGGUGGAUCACAGAAAAUAUUAGGAGCAAACAAGGGACAGCCUGCUGUCAAGCUCUCAACAUUGGGCGCUGAAUACAAGAUGCCUGCGAUCCUUGCAGGCACCAUGAUGAGUUCACUCUACAUUCCAUCUAGGUGUGUGGCCUGAAGAUUGCAGUCUCUCAGCAGUGGGAACGCCAUUCAUGAUCCACUCUGUCAUGCACUGCCGUUAUGAAUUGAUAUCAAGGAAUUUUGUUACAACAGACAGCGCUGAGCACAUUGUGGACUGCAUGCAUGGCAUGCGGUGCCACACAAGUGGAAUGCAUGCAAAGCUGCAGACAUUGUGCAAUGGAAAAUUUGUAAGUGCAAUCCAAUUGAGA
Molecule: long non-coding RNA, 1580 nt
Filed under: Coccomyxa subellipsoidea
Lineage: Eukaryota; Viridiplantae; Chlorophyta; Trebouxiophyceae; Coccomyxaceae
Description: long non-coding RNA (CSUB_LNC000380)
Source: RNAcentral